GGGCCGUUAACUCAGGUGGUAGAGUACCGGACUUUUAAUCCGGGUGUCCCGGGUUCGAACCCCGGACGGCUCA
This 73-nucleotide transfer RNA is filed under the name bacterium ADurb.Bin236. RNAcentral's name for it is "tRNA-Lys". It matches the Rfam family "tRNA". From Rfam's summary of the family: Transfer RNA (tRNA) molecules are approximately 80 nucleotides in length. Their secondary structure includes four short double-helical elements and three loops (D, anti-codon, and T loops). The record is from RNAcentral. RNAcentral also lists the same sequence under 1 other name.